This 1138-nucleotide long non-coding RNA is filed under the name Podarcis muralis (Common wall lizard). RNAcentral describes it as "lncRNA (ENSPMRG00000007208.1)". The record is from RNAcentral. Lineage: Eukaryota; Metazoa; Chordata; Lepidosauria; Squamata; Lacertidae.
GCACACACAGGCUAAUAGGAACCACUUGAGUAGUGACAGUGAUUAGCAGCAAGUACUAGACUGUGGUUGGGACAGCACAUCAAGGGCAUGGGUCCCUUGAACCUGAAUCUCUACCUUUAUGCCAGGGCAAAGUCAUUUAAAUACAAAAAGGAAAAUAGUUUAUAUUAGCACCAUUCACUGUGAAGGAUCUACAGACCGUCACACGCGGGAGCAGGCUCUUUGCAGAGGAAGGACUUUGGGAAUCAGAAGCUCUGGGAGAGACGGCGGAAUAAAGAAGGGAGGGAGAGCGGCAGCGAGACCCAGAGAACGCAACAGACACACUUACAAUAUGAAAUUCAUCCUGCCUGGUUACUUGCUGUCCCUUUUCCCCGUUCUGGUUCUCAGCACCAGACAGGGCUACGAAGAACUGGAAAGACAACUUAAAGAAGUCUUUAAGGAAAGGAGCAACAUUCUUCGCCAGCUGUCAAAGACAUCCAGAGAACUUGAAGGAAUUAAAGUAAACCUCCAGUCUUUGAAAAACGAUGAGGCAUCUGCUAAAACCGACGUACAGAAACUCUUGGAAUUAGGCCAAAAACAAAGGGAAGAAAUGAAAUCGCUCCAGGAGGCCUUUCAAAAACAGCUUAAUGAGGCAAUUAACUUUUUGAAGACUGAAAUGGAAAGGAAGAGCAAAAUGAUCAGGGAUCUUCAAAAUGAGAACAAAAGCCUGAAAAAUAAACUCCUUUCUGGAAGCAAGCUUUGCGGCAUUCAUGCUGAAGAGUCAAAAAAGAUCCAAGCCCAACUGAAGGAGCUUCGCUAUGGGAAAAAGGAUUUGAUUUUUAAGGCACAGCAGCUUACAGACUUGGAACAAAAACUAGCAAUUGCAAAAGAAGAAUUGGAGAAAGCAGCUCUUGACAAAGAGUCACAGCUGAAGGCUCUGAAGGAGACCGUACAACUCUGCCUGUCUUCAGUUUUGCACAAUCAGCCUCCCACUACAAAUGUAAUCCCUUCAAGACCGACUGAGAGACAGACAUCCCCAGUUACAAAUGGUUCAAAAAUUCCAUUUCAAGUGACAAGCACCAAGGUAUCUUUUUUCUUCUUUUUUAAAAAUGAGAAGCUUACUGAUAUAAUUCCUAUUCCUGCAAAGGCCAGUUGCCACUAA